Molecule: ribosomal RNA, 494 nt
Filed under: uncultured bacterium
Lineage: Bacteria
Description: partial 16S ribosomal RNA
Rfam family: Bacterial small subunit ribosomal RNA
Source: RNAcentral
GACGAACGCUGGCGGCGUGCUUAACACAUGCAAGUCGAACGGAAAGGCCUGCUUUCCCUUGUGGAUUGCGGGUGCUCGAGUGGCGAACGGGUGAGUAACACGUGAGUGAUCUGCCCCCAACUUGGGUAUAAGCCUGGGAAACUGGGUCUAAUUCCCGAUAGGACUGCAGGGUGGUGCCUGUGGUGGAAAACGAUUUUCUAGUGGUUGGGGAUGAGCUCGCGGCCUAUCAGCUUGUUGGUGGGGUAAUGGCCUACCAAGGCGGCGACGGGUAGCCGGCCUGAGAGGGUGGACGGCCACAUUGGGACUGAGAUACGGCCCAGACUCCUACGGGAGGCAGCAGUGGGGAAUAUUGCACAAUGGGCGGAAGCCUGAUGCAGCGACGCCGCGUGGGGGAUGACGGCCUUCGGGUUGUAAACUCCUUUCGACCGCGAGGAAGCCACCUGGUUGGAAGGGUGGUGGCGGUAGUGGUAGAAGAAGCACCGGUUAACUACGUG